This is a long non-coding RNA of Symphalangus syndactylus (siamang), 389 nucleotides long. RefSeq lists it as uncharacterized. The record is from RefSeq and is a predicted model, not a curated record. NCBI's taxonomy places the organism in Eukaryota, Metazoa, Chordata, Mammalia, Primates, Hylobatidae.
GUUGACCUCUUUCAGUUGGUGACUGCAUUACUCAUUUAAACAAUUAUACAGGAAAGAUGAGAGGUAUCAGCUUUGAAGAUAUUUAUUCACCAGAGAGAGUUCCCGACAAGCCAGCAAGGGGGUGCAGAGACUCAAGAACAGUGAUCCUGCCUCUCCCCAUCAGAAACAAAUAUGUCUCUCUUCAGUUUGUGUAGCCCCAAACACCAGCCAAUUAACUUGAAGCUGAGUUUUGACUCAAACUCGUGACCCUUCAGGCCAUAGGGCCCUGUGUUCUGCAUCUGGUGUCGUUGAACCAAGUUAGGAUAAAAAUAAUCUCUGCUAUUGUUUCUUUGUGUUUGUGUUGUUUCUUUUUCCUUGCUUUUAAAAAUAAAUAAUGCUUUUAAGACCUA